Branchiostoma belcheri (Belcher's lancelet) is the source of this 259-nucleotide long non-coding RNA. RefSeq lists it as uncharacterized. NCBI's taxonomy places the organism in Eukaryota, Metazoa, Chordata, Leptocardii, Amphioxiformes, Branchiostomatidae. The transcript is spliced from 3 exons. The record is from RefSeq and is a predicted model, not a curated record.
ACAGUAAUACACAUAAUAUUUUUCUGUCCUAUAGGCUGUAGUGGACCAGUUAGAAGGACAGACCAUGCAGGUCAACAUGUUUGAUGAAGACCCUGGCAGCAAGGACGACCCACUGGGAAAUGCUGCAGUCAGCAUCUCAGAAGUGGUGAAGAUGGGAUUCAGUGAUAUGUGGUUGCCGUUGGAGGAUGCUACGACAGGCCAGGUGCACCUUCGGAUGUCGUGACUCAGCCUGAGCUCACAGAUGGAGGCCCUGGAUAAG